Molecule: long non-coding RNA, 505 nt
Filed under: Homo sapiens (human)
Lineage: Eukaryota; Metazoa; Chordata; Mammalia; Primates; Hominidae
Description: HSALNT0324339
Source: RNAcentral
UUUAAGAACUGUAACACUCACUGUGAGGGUCUGCGGCUUCAUUCUUGAAGGCUGUGAGACCAAGAACCCACCAAUUUCGGACACACUGGGACCACCCUCGCUGACUGGAGCACUUGAGGCAAUCAUUCCCAGAUAGUGGAACCUCGAAUGGCAGACACUGUGGUUCUCCUGCGGGGCUGAGAACUGUGAGGAGCAGAGCAGACUUCAUGGAGCUCCACAAGUCACAUACACAGGCGGCUGCUGGCUAUUUCCGCUUUCUCAUCUGGAAUUGGCAGCGGACUAAGUGGGCCCUACUUAUUAGAUAAGGAAACUGAGGCACACAAGGUCAGCUAACCUGCCCGAGGUCUCUAGCUAGUGACUGGAAGAGGUGUUCUCUGGAUAUUAUUUGAAUCUCAGUCUCGCUAUAUUUCUUCGUCAUGACUGUAACUUUCCCCCUGUAUUUCUAAAUAUUUUAAUCUCUUGAUCAUAUAGCAUACGUUGAUUUAAUAAAUCACUUUUACAUGCA